ACAUGCAGUCGAACGGCAGCACAGUAAGAGCUUGCUCUUAUGGGUGGCGAGUGGCGGACGGGUGAGGAAUACAUCGGAAUCUACCUUUUCGUGGGGGAUAACGUAGGGAAACUUACGCUAAUACCGCAUACGACCUUCGGGUGAAAGCAGGGGACCUUCGGGCCUUGCGCGGAUAGAUGAGCCGAUGUCGGAUUAGCUAGUUGGCGGGGUAAAGGCCCACCAAGGCGACGAUCCGUAGCUGGUCUGAGAGGAUGAUCAGCCAWACUGGAACUGAGACACGGUCCAGACUCCUACGGGAGGCAGCAGUGGGGAAUAUUGGACAAUGGGCGCAAGCCUGAUCCAGCCAUACCGCGUGGGUGAAGAAGGCCUUCGGGUUGUAAAGCCCUUUUGUUGGGAAAGAAAAGCAGUCGGCUAAUACCCGGUUGUUCUGACGGUACCCAAAGAAUAAGCACCGGCUAACUUCGUGCCAGCAGCCGCGGUAAUACGAAGGGUGCAAGCGUUACUCGGAAUUACUGGGCGUAAAGCGUGCGUAGGUGGUUGUUUAAGUCUGUUGUGAAAGCCCUGGGCUCAACCUGGGAAUUGCAGUGGAUACUGGGCGACUAGAGUGUGGUAGAGGGUAGUGGAAUUCCCGGUGUAGCAGUGAAAUGCGUAGAGAUCGGGAGGAACAUCCAUGGCGAAGGCAGCUACCUGGACCAACACUGACACUGAGGCACGAAAGCGUGGGGAGCAAACAGGAUUAGAUACCCUGGUAGUCCACGCCCUAAACGAUGCGAACUGGAUGUUGGGUGC
Molecule: ribosomal RNA, 789 nt
Filed under: Stenotrophomonas sp.
Lineage: Bacteria; Pseudomonadati; Pseudomonadota; Gammaproteobacteria; Lysobacterales; Lysobacteraceae
Description: bacterial SSU rRNA
Rfam family: Bacterial small subunit ribosomal RNA
Source: RNAcentral